GGGAGCAUAGCUCAGAUGAUAGAGCACUCGCUUAGCAUGCGAGAGGUACGGGGAUCGAUACUCCGCGCCUCCA
This 73-nucleotide transfer RNA is filed under the name Trichonephila clavipes. It matches the Rfam family "tRNA". Rfam says of the family: Transfer RNA (tRNA) molecules are approximately 80 nucleotides in length. Their secondary structure includes four short double-helical elements and three loops (D, anti-codon, and T loops). Lineage: Eukaryota; Metazoa; Arthropoda; Arachnida; Araneae; Nephilidae. The record is from Rfam by way of RNAcentral.